This 232-nucleotide ribosomal RNA is filed under the name uncultured bacterium. RNAcentral's name for it is "partial 16S ribosomal RNA". It matches the Rfam family "Bacterial small subunit ribosomal RNA", at positions 118 to 347 of the family's 1533-position model. The record is from RNAcentral.
UGAGCAAUCUGCCCUUCUCAUCGGAAUAAGCGUUGGAAACGACGUCUAAUGCCGAAUACGACCUCCUUUCGCAUGAUCGGAGGUGGAAAGCUCCGGCGGAGAAGGAUGAGCUCGCGGCCUAUCAGCUAGUUGGUGUGGGUAAUGGCCCACCAAGGCGACGACGGGUAGCCGGCCUGAGAGGGUGACCGGCCACACUGGGACUGAGACACGGCCCAGACUCCCGUAGGGACGG